RNAcentral lists this ribosomal RNA (373 nucleotides) under uncultured organism. RNAcentral's name for it is "bacterial SSU rRNA". It matches the Rfam family "Bacterial small subunit ribosomal RNA", at positions 526 to 896 of the family's 1533-position model. The record is from RNAcentral.
CAGAGGGUGCGAGCGUUGUUCGGAAUUACUGGGCGUAAAGCGCGCGCAGGCGGCCCCUUAAGUCUGUCGGUCAAAUGCCGGGGCUCAACCCCGGGCGUGCCGAGGAUACUGGAGGGCUGGAGACACGUAGAGGCAAGCGGAAUUCCGGGUGUAGCGGUGGAAUGCGUAGAGAUCCGGAAGAACACCGGAGGCGAAGGCGGCUUGCUGGGCGUGAUCUGACGCUGAGGCGCGAAAGCGUGGGGAGCGAACAGGAUUAGAUACCCUGGUAGUCCACGCCGUAAACGAUGGGCACUAGACGCUGGUGGGAUCGACCCCUUCGGUGUCGCAGCUAACGCGAUAAGUGCCCCGCCUGGGGAGUACGGCCGCAAGGCUG